GGCCGCGGGAAUUCGAUUCAGGCCUAACACAUGCAAGUCGAGCGGAUGACGGGGGCUUGCUCCUUGAUUCAGCGGCGGACGGGUGAGUAAUGCCUAGGAAUCUGCCUGGUAGUGGGGGACAACGUUUCGAAAGGAACGCUAAUACCGCAUACGUCCUACGGGAGAAAGCAGGGGACCUUCGGGCCUUGCGCUAUCAGAUGAGCCUAGGUCGGAUUAGCUAGUUGGUGGGGUAAUGGCUCACCAAGGCGACGAUCCGUAACUGGUCUGAGAGGAUGAUCAGUCACACUGGAACUGAGACACGGUCCAGACUCCUACGGGAGGCAGCAGUGGGGAAUAUUGGACAAUGGGCGAAAGCCUGAUUCAGAAAGGCCGCGUGUGUGAAGAAGGUCUUCGGAU
RNAcentral lists this ribosomal RNA (396 nucleotides) under uncultured bacterium. RNAcentral's name for it is "bacterial SSU rRNA". It matches the Rfam family "Bacterial small subunit ribosomal RNA", at positions 34 to 423 of the family's 1533-position model. The record is from RNAcentral.